RNAcentral lists this ribosomal RNA (469 nucleotides) under uncultured bacterium. RNAcentral's name for it is "partial 16S ribosomal RNA". It matches the Rfam family "Bacterial small subunit ribosomal RNA", at positions 28 to 507 of the family's 1533-position model. The record is from RNAcentral.
GACGAACGCUGGCGGCGCGCUUAACACAUGCAAGUCGAACGGUGAAGCGAGUGCUUGCACUCGUGGAUCAGUGGCGAACGGGUGAGUAACACGUGAGUAACCUGCCCAUCACUCUGGGAUAAGCACUGGAAACGGUGUCUAAUACUGGAUACGACCAACCCUUGCAUGGGGUGUUGGUGGAAAGAUUUAUCGGUGAUGGAUGGACUCGCGGCCUAUCAGCUUGUUGGCGGGGUAAUGGCCCACCAAGGCGACGACGGGUAGCCGGCCUGAGAGGGUGACCGGCCACACUGGGACUGAGACACGGCCCAGACUCCUACGGGAGGCAGCAGUGGGGAAUAUUGCACAAUGGGCGAAAGCCUGAUGCAGCGACGCCGCGUGAGGGAUGACGGCCUUCGGGUUGUAAACCUCUUUCAGCAGGGAAGAAGCGAAAGUGACGGUACCUGCAGAAGAAGCACCGGCUAACUACGUG